RNAcentral lists this ribosomal RNA (406 nucleotides) under uncultured bacterium. RNAcentral describes it as "partial 16S ribosomal RNA". It matches the Rfam family "Bacterial small subunit ribosomal RNA", at positions 30 to 526 of the family's 1533-position model. The record is from RNAcentral.
AUUGAACGCUGGCGGCAGGCCUAACACAUGCAAGUCGAACGCGUGGCGGACGGGUGAGUAAUGUCUGGGAAACCGCCUGAUGGAGGGGGAUAACUACGGGACACUGUAGCUAAUACCGCAUACCCUCAGAUGUGCCCAGAUGGGAUUGGCUAGGUGGUGGGGUAACGGCUCACCAAGGCGACGAUCCCUAGCUGGUCUGAGAGGAGGACCAGCCACACUGGAACGUAGACACGGUCCAGACUCCUACGGGAGGCAGCAGUGGGGAAUAUUGCACAAUGGGCGCAAGCCUGAUGCAGCCAUGCCGCGUGUAUGAAGAAGGCCUUCGGGUUGUAAAGUACUUUCAGCGGGGAGGCGUUACCCGCAGAAGAAGCACCGGCUAACUCCGUGCCAGCAGCCGCGGUAAUAC